This 497-nucleotide ribosomal RNA is filed under the name uncultured bacterium. Its description in RNAcentral is "partial 16S ribosomal RNA". It matches the Rfam family "Bacterial small subunit ribosomal RNA", at positions 28 to 507 of the family's 1533-position model. The record is from RNAcentral.
GAUGAACGCUGGCGGCGUGCCUAAUACAUGCAAGUCGAGCGAACAGAUGAGGAGCUUGCUCCUCUGACGUUAUCGGCGGACGGGUGAGUAACACGUGGAUAACCUACCUAUAAGACUGGGAUAACUUUGGGAAACCGUAGCUAAUACCGGAUAAUAUAUUGAACCGCAUGGUUCAAUAGUGAAAGACGGUUUUGCUGUCACUUAUAGAUGGGUCCGCGCCGCAUUAGCUAGUUGGUAAGGUAACGGCUUACCAAGGCAACGACGCGUAGCCGACCUGAGAGGGUGAUCGGACACACUGGAACUGAGACACGGUCCAGACUCCUACGGGGGGCAGCAGUAGGGAUUCUUCCGCAAGGGGGGAAAGCCUAACGGAGCAACGCCGCGUGAGUGAUGAAGGUCUUCGGAUCGUAAAACUCUGUUAUUAGGGAAGAACAAAUGUGUAAGUAACUAUGCACGUCUUGACGGUACCUAAUCAGAAAGCCACGGCUAACUACGUG